Molecule: long non-coding RNA, 5796 nt
Organism: Ruditapes philippinarum (Manila clam)
Lineage: Eukaryota; Metazoa; Mollusca; Bivalvia; Venerida; Veneridae
Exons: 8
Source: RefSeq, a predicted model, not a curated record
UAUAACGAAUUAUCGUUAAUAGCGAACUAAAUCUGACAUCCCGGCCGAUUCCUCCUUUAUUUUAUAUUAAAUCAUAUCGCUUAAUACGUACUCGCUUAUAGCGAAUUUUCGGCUAUAACGAACCAUUUUUUCAAGCCCCAAAUGACGGAAAACAUUUAAAUUUCCUCGGUUAUAACAAACUGUUAUAAUUGAAAUAUCGGGAUGCGCUCGAUUAGGAUCAGUACAUGAAUAACACUAUCCGAUAAUUAAACGAUCGAAUGAUUGCCGAGUUAGUUAUGGCUUCAGGGAAUAAAGAUUUUGAAAAAUGUUCUCCCAACAUAAUUUCCUACUUGUUACGGAAAAUUUGUAUUUCACACCCUCAGUUAAUUGUUGUAAAUACCCGAUAAUUGCCAAGUAAUCAUUUUUUUGUGUUUGCAAUAUUAACCAAACGAUAAUAAACAAAUAGCAAAAGAAAACAAAUGGUAAGAACUUCAUAGACAAUUAAUACAUGAAUAAAUAUAUGUACCAUGUACAUAAUAUAUUGCUCAAUAAAAUGCCCCGCAUUAAAUAACCGCUGCAGUAAAAUACCGGUUACACCGGUAACCAGUGAAGAGUAUGGCUUUUUCAAGGCAAAUUUCCCCAUCCAAACAAGUCAGCAAGUUGUUGCUACUUCGCUUUUAGCGAACUUCGGAUAUAGCGAACGAUAUUUUAAUGUCCCAUUGAGUUCGUUAUAACCGGAGUCGACUGUAUAAACAUUUUUGCUCAUACAGCCUUUAUUUUUUAGUUAAUGUCUUAGUUUAAUACAAACAUGCCAAGGGAGGUCCUCCUUCUUUGGGUGUAGUAAGGGGUCAUUUGGGUCAAGGUCAAUGUUACCAAUGUUAAGGUCACCAAUGUUAAAAAUAGACUUUUACAUUUUUACAGGUGUAUUGACCUUAUUCAAGACAGAUGUUAUUUAUAAUUGAUAGAAACAUAAACUUUGAUGGAGUUAGUGGUCAGUUAGGUCAAGGUCACCAGUGCUAAAAAUAGAUUUUUACACAUUUGCUCAUACAGCCUUUAUUAAGUGACAGAUAUAUUUUAUAUUUGGUAGGAAGAUAACUUGCAUGGUAUUCAUCCUUUUGAUUGGGGUAGGGAUCAGUGGGUCAAGGUCACUUGUGCUAAAAAUAGAUUUUUACACUUUUGCCCAUACAGCUUUUAUUUAUUGACAAAUGUAUUUCAUAUUUUGUAGGAAGAUAACUUGCAGGUAUUCAUCUUUUGGAUGGAGUAAGGGGUCAGUUGGGUCAAGGUCACCAGUGCUAAAAAUAGAUUUUUUAACUUUUGCCCAUACAGCCUUUAUUUAUUGACAGAUGUAUUUCAUAUUUGGUAGGAAGAUAACUUACAAGUAUUCUUCUUUUGGAUAGUUAGGGGUCGGUUUGGUCAAGGUCACCAGUGCUAAAAAUAGAUUUUACACUUUAGCCCAUACAGCCUUUAUUUAAUGACAGAAUGAUGUAUUUCAUAUUUGGUAGGAAGAUAACUUGCAUGAAGUUGAAUAUUUUUCAACUUCACAAGUCAGAGCAAUGACUUGGCAACUUAUAUUUUUCACAAUUACAAAAUGCCAUGACUUUGUCAAGCUAUAUAUUUUGUGUUAACAAUUUUUGGGCAAUUUUUCUGUCCAUAACUGAGUGAAUGGGUAAACAUUUUUUGAAAUAUUGCUACUGAAAAGAAUCUGAGCCAGGGGCAUUUGUGUUUAACAAACACGUUCUUGUUUAUAAUUUGUUGUUUAAUUAUUAAAGUUUUUGUGUGUUUUGGGAUAUUUUGUUACCCUAUCAAUAGCUAAAACAUACAUUAUUAUUUAAUUUUUGUCAAUAUUAUUAGAAAUACUGGUUAAAUCUUGUUAGAUUUGUAUGCUUAUUGUGCAUAGUUUAAUAUUUUACUGAACACAAAACUACCAAAAUUUGUUGAGAUGUAUACAGCAUGUUUUAUUGUUGAAUAAUGUAAUACCAUAUUGUUAAAAGAAUUGAAAAAACAAACUAAUGGGUGGAUUGGACGGCUGUAGGGAGGUGGAGGCCGUUUAAGUUCAGUAGUUUUGGUCAGUGUAAAACCUAAUUUGGUCAGUGAAAAGUCAGGGAAUUUUAUUUAUCUAUGGUGCUGGCAACCCUGGUACUACUGGUUGACUCCAGGAACAUUGAGCAAGAAAUGUUACAUGCACUCAGUACUGGUUGACUCCAGGAACAUUGAGUGAGAAUGGUUACACACAUUGGUCAGAGGAACCUUGAGAUAGAAUUAUUACACACAUUGCUCAGUACUGGUUUGCUCCAGGAACCUUGAGAUAGAAUCAUUACACACAUUGCAAAGUACUGGUUUGCUCCAGGAACUUUGAGUAAAAAUGUUACACACAUUGCAAAGUACUGGUUUACUCCAGGAAGCUUCAGAUAGAAAUGUUACAGGCAUUGCUGAGUAAUGGUUGACUUUAGUGGAACUUUAGUAAAUUAAUUUUAGUGUUUCUACAUAAAAUCUUUUGUUUAAAGUAAUGUCUGCGUCUGCCCCCUUGCUAAAGUAAAAGUAUUGACUGAAUGGCUUUAAGUUAUCACUGAAUAUAUUGUUGUGGAAAGUACUUAUUAUAGCUAGACUGCAAACUCUCUAACCAUGCCAUCAAUCCAUCUGGCUAUGAUAUGUAUGAAGCCAUGUAUAUAAUUUGAUAUCUUGCCAGGUAAGGCAAUGCUUAUUCAUUUUUAGUCAAAAUCCUGGCUUGUUAUAGUAAGGUCCACUUUUAUUUGAAAACUUCAGUAGAAACAAUCUUUUGAUUUUUGUUCAGUACUGAUUUGUUCCAGAAACAUUGAGCAUAAAUAGCUACACAUUUUGUUAAGUACUGGUUUACUCCAGGAACUUUGAGUAAAAAAUGUUACAAGCAUUGCUCAGAACUGGUCUGCUCCAGGAACUUUGAGUCAGAAACGUUACAUGCAUUGAUCAGUAUUGGCUGGCUCCUGGAACAUUGAGUUAGAAAUGUGGUAUACAUUGUUCAGUACUGGUUUGCUCCAGUAAGAUUGAGUUUGAAAACUUACACACAUUGCUCAGGACUUGUUUUCUCCAGGAACUUUGAGUAAGAAACGUUACACACAUUGGUCAGUACUGGUUAGCUCAAGAAACAUUGAGUAAGAAAUAAAGCACACAUUGGUCAGUAUUGGUUGGCUCCAGGAACAUUGAGUAAGAAAUAAAGCACACAUUGGUCAGUCCUGGUUAGCUCCAGAAACAUUGAGUAAGAAAUAAAGCACAAAUUGGUCAGUCCUGGUUGGCUCCAGGAACAUUUUGUUAAAAAUGUUACACACAUUGGUCAGUACUGGUUGGCUUUAGGAACAUUGAGUAAGAAAUAAAGCACACAUUGGUACGUACUGGUUGGCUCCAGGAACAUUGAGUAAAAAAUAUUACACACAUUGCUCUGUACUGGUCUGCUCCAGGAACUUUGAGUAAGAAACGUUACAUGCAUUGCUCAGUACUGGUUGGCUCCAGGAACAUUGAGUUAGAAAUGUGGCACACAUUGGUCAGUAUUUGUUGGCUCCAGUAUGUAAUUUCUAUGCCUUGUUUUGAUAUUUUCUGAUGUUUAUAUUGUAAAUAAUUUUAGUUUUUCUACAUAAAAUCUUUUGUUUAAAGUAAUGUCUGCGUCUGCCCCCUUGCUUAUGUAAAAGUGUUGACUGAAUGGCUUCAAGUUAGCACUGAAUAUAUUGUCGUGGAAAGUACUUAUUAUAGCUAGACCCAUCUGGCUAUGAUAUGUAUGAAGCCAUGUAUAUAAUUUGAUAUCUUGCCAGGUAAAGCAAUGCUUAAUCAUUUUCAGUCAAAAUUAUGGCUUGUUGAAGUGACGUCCACUUUUAUUUGAGAAUUUUUCAGUAGAAACAAUGUUUUGAUUUUUGUUCAGUACUGGUUUGCUCCAGGAACCUUGAGCAUGAAUAGCUAUACAUAUUGCUCAGUACUGGUUUACUCCAGGAAAAUUGAGCAAGAAAUGUACGCAAUGCUCAGUACUGGUCGAGUCCAGGAACAUUUAGUAAGAAAUAAAGCAUGCAUUGCUCAGUACUGGUUGGCUCCAGGAGCCUUGAGUUAGAAUCAUUACACACAUUGCUCAGUACUGGUAUGUUCCAGGAACCUUGAGCAAGAAACUUAACACGCAUUUUGCUCAGUCCUGGUUUUUUUCCAGGAAGUUUAAGCAAGAAACAUGCUUUGAAUUUUUCCUGAGUAGGUAUAGUCAUUAAGUAAAGUGUCUAAAUGGUAUUUUUUGAGGAAAUGGAAAAGCAACAGGUAUUAUUUAUUUUCUUUGUUUUGUCAUUUUUGUAUACAGUAAUUUAAAAUGUCUAUUUUUUUGUUUGUUAAAUUAAAUUCAUUUACUUAUUAGAUGUAUCCCACAACUGUUGAUCAAGGCUCACUGACGACCCCAUUGAAGGAAUCCGGUGCUGAUAUGUCCGCAAAAUGGGAAUUCGUUUUGGAAGAAUUUCUCUUGAGAUGCUGCGCCGGCAGUAUUGAUAGAUUAUGGUUUUUUCAGUCAUGAAAAUUGGAAAUGGGAUUCUUUUUUUUUUCAUGAGGUCAACCGAGUGUCUGCCAUCCAGAAGUUUUUUCCAGAUUUAUUUCCCUUUGUCUCUGUGGUAGAAUAGCUGUGAGCUAGGCAAAACUUGCAGCUAGCAGGAUCCUUUUCUCUAGGUAUCAUGCCCUGAUAUAUCCCUGGUCUGUUGAUCAAGACUUAUAACAAUGAAAUCUGAGGAGUCUGGCAACUUUAUAUCCGCAAGGAGGAAUUGUGUGGGAGUGAUUGUCUUCAAUCCUGAGUCAGCAGCAUUGUAGUAUGACAGUUGUUCCUGAGUUAAGAGAGAUGGAAAUCAGUGGGUCAUAGUAUGGAAGUGGCCUGAGAAGAACAACCUGCAUUGCCCGAUACUGGAAUAUAGCUUUUGUUUGAGCAGAUAUUUGUUCAGAAAUAUAAUAUAACAUGUCAAUAUCUUUACCUAGAUUUGUUUUUUUUUGGUGCUUUUAAAUUUUCAUUUCAGAAUUCAUACAACACUGGCAUACACAGUAUGAAUACAGUUCAAUCAUUAAACAGCACUCGGAAGCAGCUAAAACCGGCUUGAGAGAGUCAGUAUAAAACCUUUUGGGAACAGUGAAAACCUUGAGAGAAAUACCAGCCUGCCUGGGAGGGUGACAUCUACAAACAAGGCCACCUGCUAAAGGAAUGGAACAUUCAUAAAUCUUCAUUUUUUGAUUCAGAGAUGGUUGUGUAGUUUGGUAUCAGAAUUAUCAGACGUAUUGGUUGUAGGACAUUGACGACAGAAACUUGAAUUUUACUAUGGAGUGCUACCAAAUGAUCAGCAGCCGGAUAAACGGAGCAAAAAACAAUCAAAUUAUGAUUUUAUUUCAAAAGAUUUUAUUUGGAUGCCUUUUGUUGUAAGAUGUACAAAUCAUGGAUGUUGAAUUGACCCAGGGACAAACCAGAUCUAAUCGUAACAGGAAGUACUACAUGGAUAAUAAAGGAAUUUAAUGUCAGCAAAGAUGCUUAGAAAAAUUUUGAAGUGUCAUGUAACCAAUCAUGAGUUUGCAGCCAUGAGUGGACUGAAGUCAUAAUCAUUAUUGGCCCACUGAAGAUGCUGUUAAGGUAGUUUUGGCAAUACCUGGAAUAAUGCUUCAGAAGAUUGCUGGAGGUCUCUUCUUGUUACCAAGAAAAAGGAAUGGAGAGAAACAUGGAAACAUUAGUGAAGACACUACAAAAUGGAGUAAAGACGGAAUGUCCAGUCACUAGAAGCUGUCAUACAAAAUUACCAACAAAACAAAAAGAAAUUGAUCUUGUAUAUAAGAAAUUGAUAGAUUAACUUU